GCCCCCGUAGCUCAGCGGAUAGAGCACCGGCCUCCGGAGCCGGGUGCGCAGGUUCGAGUCCUGCCGGGGGCG
Molecule: transfer RNA, 72 nt
Filed under: Acidimicrobiales bacterium
Lineage: Bacteria; Bacillati; Actinomycetota; Acidimicrobiia; Acidimicrobiales
Also listed under: 1 other name
Description: tRNA-Arg
Rfam family: tRNA
About the family: Transfer RNA (tRNA) molecules are approximately 80 nucleotides in length. Their secondary structure includes four short double-helical elements and three loops (D, anti-codon, and T loops). Further hydrogen bonds mediate the characteristic L-shaped molecular structure. tRNAs have two regions of fundamental functional importance: the anti-codon, which is responsible for specific mRNA codon recognition, and the 3' end, to which the tRNAs corresponding amino acid is attached (by aminoacyl-tRNA synthetases). tRNAs cope with the degeneracy of the genetic code in two manners: having more than one tRNA (with a specific anti-codon) for a particular amino acid; and 'wobble' base-pairing, i.e. permitting non-standard base-pairing at the 3rd anti-codon position.
Source: RNAcentral